Small nuclear RNA from Octodon degus (degu), 158 nucleotides. Its record names the gene U1. It matches the Rfam family "U1 spliceosomal RNA". From Rfam's summary of the family: U1 is a small nuclear RNA (snRNA) component of the spliceosome (involved in pre-mRNA splicing). The record is from Ensembl. Lineage: Eukaryota; Metazoa; Chordata; Mammalia; Rodentia; Octodontidae.
AUAGUCAUCUGGCAGGAGAGACGCUGUGAUCACAAAUGUUGUUUUCCCAGGGCAAGGCUUAUCCCUUACACACAGGAUGUGCUGAGCCCUGUGAUUUCCCAAAUGUAAAAAACCCAACUUUUUGUUGUAGUAGGGUACUGUGUUCACACUGUCCUCUG